RNAcentral lists this ribosomal RNA (427 nucleotides) under uncultured bacterium. RNAcentral describes it as "partial 16S ribosomal RNA". It matches the Rfam family "Bacterial small subunit ribosomal RNA", at positions 355 to 774 of the family's 1533-position model. The record is from RNAcentral.
UGGGGAAUAUUGCACAAUGGGCGCAAGCCUGAUGCAGCCAUGCCGCGUGUAUGAAGAAGGCCUUCGGGUUGUAAAGUACUUUCAGCGAGGAGGAAGGCGUUGUGGUUAAUAACCGCAACGAUCGACGUUACUCGCAGAAGAAGCACCGGCUAACUCCGUGCCAGCAGCCGCGGUAAUACGGAGGGUGCAAGCGUUAAUCGGAAUUACUGGGCGUAAAGCGCACGCAGGCGGUCUGUCAAGUCGGAUGUGAAAUCCCCGGGCUCAACCUGGGAACUGCAUCCGAAACUGGCAGGCUAGAGUCUUGUAGAGGGGGGUAGAAUUCCAGGUGUAGCGGUGAAAUGCGUAGAGAUCUGGAGGAAUACCGGUGGCGAAGGCGGCCCCCUGGACAAAGACUGACGCUCAGGUGCGAAAGCGUGGGGAGCAAACA